UCUGGGAUAAGUGGCACUGUUUGGG
Molecule: non-coding RNA, 25 nt
Filed under: Cricetulus griseus (Chinese hamster)
Lineage: Eukaryota; Metazoa; Chordata; Mammalia; Rodentia; Cricetidae
Source: RNAcentral